UGCAGAAGCCAGGAAAGUUCCCCGCAAUAGUGGGACCAUUCCCCCGCUUACACUUACAUCACCAAGUGCUCGAACUUGCAGGACAAACUCUUUCCAUUUCACUCUAGCAGAUAGUUCCACAGGAUGGGGCUUCAUUGUUCUAUAAUUUCUCUUAAAAACCCCACCCACCAGGAAUCUCUAUACAAAAUCUAUACAACCGGGAGCACUCCAACCCAGGAAAUACACAGGCAGCCUGAACUCUGUGUCCUUGUGCAUAUGCAUUGCAAAGCAGGGCUGAAUUACAAGGUCACAUGCUGCUUUUUCUGCAGGGCUGGAUGGAGAAUGUCUCGCUCGCUGUGGAGAUCGGAUGGCGUGCAGUGAACACACAUUGAAUGUGUGGAUAUAAAUACAUAUCAAACAGCUGCUCCAUUCACUGCACUCCAUCCAAUUGUGCUUUAACAAGACAGGAUCCUGUAAUUUUCACUCCAUGCAUCUGAAGAAGUGGGUUUUUUACCCAUGAAAUCUUAUGCCCAAAUAAAUCUGUUAGUCUUUAAGGUGCCACCGGACUCCUCGUUUUUUUUUUUCUUACAGAAAAACAAUGUUAUGCAAUUAGCGACUGCAUCAUAACACAUACCAGCAAGCAGCUUGCACCUGAGGACAUAAUCAGGCAGUAUGAUUACAUCCAUGAAAACAGGAUCCCAAGCAAGCUUGGUUGGAAAUGCUGCAAGAGAACAUUGAAUCAGUGCUUCUAUAUCCUGAGAAAUUUCCCAAAAUCUGGGAAUUUUUGAGUAAAAUGUUUCAACUUGGGAAAUUGGGAAUUUUCAUUCAAAACCUAAAUCAUCCUGGGAAAAUUUCAUAAAAAGUAAAAGACUUUCCAAAUCUCAAAAAUCCUGGGAAGUUUUCAUAAAAAGUAAAAUAUUUGUGCGUCUUUUAAAUUUCCCCCCAAAUGCGUUCUUCGAUUGGUGAAUAUCUGUCACGAUUUUCAUAAUCAGGCUGUGCUGCUCUCCUAUUGGUGGUGCUUCAACGUACUAUAUCAUGAUGGCACAAGUGAAGUGACCAGUGUGCACAUGCACUCACAACAAACCAACCUCAGCAACAGCUGGCUGGCGGGUAAUGAGGAGAUGGUUACCAAAUUUAUCUUCUAGAGAUCUAAUGUAAAAAAUGAAUCAAGAGACUGGUAAGGCUGGUGAGAAGAGGAAGAGGACUGCAGGAGUAGACAAAGAUCCAUCCACGUUGAAACGAAAACAAUGGGAUAGCACUCCCGACAGAGUAUUGAAGACUUGGAUGAACUUCCACCAAAAGAGAAGCCAUCUACUUUCAAAAAAGCCUUUCAAUACUUGUGGCUUCAAGAAGAUUAUGAACAAACAGGAAAAUGAAGGUGAAGAUGACUG
Long non-coding RNA from Trachemys scripta elegans, 1370 nucleotides. RefSeq lists it as uncharacterized. NCBI's taxonomy places the organism in Eukaryota, Metazoa, Chordata, Testudines, Emydidae. The record is from RefSeq and is a predicted model, not a curated record. The transcript has 3 exons.